GCCCAGGUGGUGAAAUGGGAGACACGCCAGACUUAGGAUCUGGUGCCGCAAGGCGUGUAGGUUCAAGUCCUAUCCUGGGCA
RNAcentral lists this transfer RNA (81 nucleotides) under Chlamydiota bacterium. Its description in RNAcentral is "Chlamydiae bacterium (freshwater metagenome) tRNA-Leu". It matches the Rfam family "tRNA". Rfam says of the family: Transfer RNA (tRNA) molecules are approximately 80 nucleotides in length. Their secondary structure includes four short double-helical elements and three loops (D, anti-codon, and T loops). Lineage: Bacteria; Pseudomonadati; Chlamydiota. The record is from RNAcentral.